CAAACUAUGGCAUAUCGACGGCUUAAUACGCAAACAAGAAAACUCCAGUAAACGAAACUGUGCAGAAGCAACAUAAAAAAGUAAAAAAACCUGUUACCGCAAUAAAGUAGAUUGUACAAAAAAGUGGAGUUAUCUUGUUUGCAGAUUAAUUCGCCGAUAAUGUUUACCAAAGUUGUUUUUAUAUCUGCCGUUAUGAGAAAGUCAUUAUGAGAAAGUCGUUUGAAGUCAACUUGCUCAUCGCAUAGGGAUGUAAGAACCAGGGUCCAUAAUAUACUUGUAGCCUACGGUGAAGUUCUGGCAUCAGUAAGAUAUUCUUUUAAGCACAGACAAUGACACAUUCAAUUUGCUUAAUAAAACCCUAUAAAUGUAAAAAUAAAUGUAAUAAAACCCUAUAAAUGUAUUUGUAUAAAAUUUAAAUCUAAAAUUAAUUGGAAAAAUAUAUAUUUAAAAAUAAUAAGUUGGAAUAUAAUAGCAAAAAAAGUCCCAAUAAUACAUUAUACAA
Long non-coding RNA from Hydra vulgaris (swiftwater hydra), 502 nucleotides. RefSeq lists it as uncharacterized. The record is from RefSeq and is a predicted model, not a curated record. Lineage: Eukaryota; Metazoa; Cnidaria; Hydrozoa; Anthoathecata; Hydridae.